This 431-nucleotide ribosomal RNA is filed under the name uncultured bacterium. RNAcentral's name for it is "partial 16S ribosomal RNA". It matches the Rfam family "Bacterial small subunit ribosomal RNA", at positions 29 to 505 of the family's 1533-position model. The record is from RNAcentral.
AACGAACGCUGGCGGCAUGCCUAACACAUGCAAGUCGAACGAGACCUUCGGGUUUAGUGGCGCACGGGUGCGUAACGUGUGGGAACCUGCCCUUAGGUUCCGACUAACUCCCCGAAAGGGGUGCUAAUACCGGAUAAUGUCCUCGGACCUAAGAUUUAUCGCCUUUGGAUGGGCCUGCGUUGGAUUAGCUAGUUGGUAGGGUAAAAGCCUACCAAGGCGACGAUCCAUAGCUGGUCUGAGAGGAUGAUCAGCCACACUGGGACUGAGACACGGCCCAGACUCCUACGGGAGGCAGCAGUGGGGAAUAUUGGACAAUGGGCGAAAGCCUGAUCCAGCAAUGCCGCGUGAGUGAUGAAGGCCUUAGGGUUGUAAAGCUCUUUUACCCGGGAUGAUAAUGACAGUACCGGGAGAAUAAGCUCCGGCUAACUCCG